Molecule: ribosomal RNA, 411 nt
Filed under: uncultured bacterium
Lineage: Bacteria
Description: bacterial SSU rRNA
Rfam family: Bacterial small subunit ribosomal RNA
Source: RNAcentral
AAUGGGGGCAACCCUGACGCAGCAACGCCGCGUGAGUGAAGAAGGCCUUCGGGUUGUAAAGCUCUGUCAGGCGGGAAGAAACUUCCACAGGUGAAUAGUCUGUGGAACUGACGGUACCGCCAAAGGAAGCACCGGCUAACUCCGUGCCAGCAGCCGCGGUAAGACGGAGGGUGCAAGCGUUGUUCGGAAUCACUGGGCGUAAAGCGCGUGUAGGCGGUUUGGUAAGUCGAGUGUGAAAUCCCGAGGCUUAACCUCGGAAGUGCACUCGAAACUGUCAGGCUUGAGUACGGGAGAGGGAAGUGGAAUUCCUGGUGUAGAGGUGAAAUUCGUAGAUAUCAGGAGGAACACCGGUGGCGAAGGCGGCUUCCUGGACCGAUACUGACGCUGAGACGCGAAAGCGUGGGGAGCAAA